AAACCAAAGUACAAUAUUGUAGUUGUACUAUUCUCCCUUCCUUGUCAUCCCACGAACUUCACUUAAAACCCAACUCCGUUUCGCAACACUAACCCAACACCUUCAUCACAACCGUCCAUCUCUAUCAAGACCACGAACACGCAUACACCGUGCGCUUCCUCAAUCUUUCUCCUCCAACUUCUUCUUCUUCCUCCUAAUUUCGCUUUUUCUCUCUAAGCCCUUUCCUCUUCCCUUCCUCAAACCUCUCAACCUCACAAGAUCGAACAACGCAACAAUAAUGGUCGAAUCCUCUCCGACCUAAACCCUCACAUAAGGUCUUUCUUCUUCUUCUCUUUCCCUUUUCAUCUUUUCUAUUUUCUUCAUCGUGAAACCCUUAAUCUGUAAGCAUUAACCUAGCACUGUUCACGAAUUAUCUUCAGCUGAAGUUCAAUUCUAGUAAUUCAUCACCGAUUAUACGGUCAACCUUCUUCACUGGAUCUAGGAUUGUUCGUAUUUUCUACUAAAUUAGGGUUUUUAUUUUCCCCAAUUUUCGUCAAUUUUUGUCAAUUUUGUCAGUUUUAAUAGAUAUAUCACUUUUUCUAACUUGGGUUUCUUCGAUUUGUAUUAAAGUUUUGAUUUUUAGGUUUCAUUGUUUUUGUUGUUGUUGCUGUAAUAUUAGCUGCUUGAUAUUCGUAAUCAAAGCAAGCUUGAAGAUCUGUGAUGGGGGAGGAAAGUUCUGAUGCAAUGAACCUUGAUUUGAAUCUGGGUCCAGACCCAGAACCAGUUACUGGGUCAAUUACCAAUGAGGGUUUGAACUUGGAUGAUUGGAUUGAGGAGCCUCUUCAGCGAAUUAGUGAAGCUGCUGCGAGGCUUAGGGGGAGACAGAGGUGGAGAUGGAGGCAGCUUCCGAUUUCUCCACCUUAUCCUCAACAAGUUCAUCGCGUUCUACCUCAUAGUUCUUAUGCUCAAGUUCAUCAGAUUAUACCUGAAACUGCGCAUCAUAUUUAUAUCCCGCCUGAAGCUCGCAAUAUCUCUAUUGAGUUGAACAAUUUUUUGGUGAACUCGAGUAAUGGAGCGGGGUUACAGGCUGGGGAAGGAAGUGUGGCGGCUGUGGAGAGAAUGGAGGAAGUGGAGGAGCCGUUGAAAGCGUGUGAGAGCAACAAUGGUGUUAUGGAGGAUGAGAUGUUGCAGAAGAAGGAUGAUGUUGAAAAGACUGGUGGCUGUGAUGGGGACUUUUUUGAUUGUAAUAUCUGUUUGGACUUGGCCAAGGAGCCUGUUUUGACCUGUUGCGGUCAUCUGUUUUGUUGGCAGUGCCUAUAUCGUUGGCUGCAUCUGCAUUCAGAUGCUAAGGAGUGUCCAGUUUGCAAGGGUGAGGUGACAAUUAAGAGUGUUACUCCCAUAUAUGGUCGUGGGAACAAUGCUCGUGUUCUUGAGGAGGAUUCCACUCUUAAAAUUCCUCCUAGGCCACAAGCAAAGCGUGUUGAAAGUCUGAGACAAACCAUUAUGAGAAACGCAUCUGCACUCCCUGUAGAGGAGAUGAUUCGGCGUCUUGGAAACAGAAUUGAUCUCACUCGGGAUCUAGUUCAGCCAAAUGAAACAGAAAAUGCCCGUGGAACAGUAGAGAGAACUACCUCCUUACUAAGUAGGUUUUUGACAUCUCGAGGCAUGAGGAGAGAGCAGAUGCCUGUGGCACCACCGGAAGAUGUUGCAGGUUUGAAUCAGAAUAACAUUAAUGGUGCUGACUUAGGAGGGGAUAACCGCAGGGUGCAAUCUCUUUUGCUUCGAAGAUCACAAUCACAUAGAGCAACACUUUCUAGUCUUUCAUCAGCAUUGACUUCUGCUGAAAGGUUAGUUGAGGCAUAUUUCCGUAGCAACCCAUUAGGCAGAAACCAAGAACAACCACCUACUUCAGUUGAUGACAGGGAUUCCUUUUCAAGCAUUGCCGCAGUCAUAAAUUCGGAGAGUCAAGUGGACACUGCUGUAGAAAUUGAUUCCAUGGUAACCUCUUCUAGGAGGAGAGCUGAUGCUUCAAGAUUGUCUGAUGUGGACAGUGGAGAUUCUCGGGCUCCAAGGCGCAGACGUCUGAACUAAUAAAAGUAUUCUAGCUCAAGUUAUUACUAUUCUAUCAUAUCAUGUAACACAUCAUAAUAAUUUUCCAACAUCUAUAGAUAUUUUCAUGGGGAAAGGUCGAUGGCAAUUCAGUCUCGAUGUUUUUCUUGUCAACAAUGUGGUCCAAGUUGUGCUUUCCGCGAAGUUGUUGUAGACAGUUAAUUGUAAUAGAUAAACUAAUAAGCCUAGUAGUUGCUCUUCUGUUUAGGAGUCCAAAAACAGUUAUGUGAAUGUUUCGGUGUCUAAAUUCUGCUAAUUCUGCAUUUAUUAACAAGAUAUGAGUUUGACCCACCUUA
Molecule: RNA transcript, 2384 nt
Organism: Vicia villosa (hairy vetch)
Lineage: Eukaryota; Viridiplantae; Streptophyta; Magnoliopsida; Fabales; Fabaceae
Exons: 2
Source: RefSeq, a predicted model, not a curated record